This 253-nucleotide ribosomal RNA is filed under the name uncultured bacterium. RNAcentral's name for it is "partial 16S ribosomal RNA". It matches the Rfam family "Bacterial small subunit ribosomal RNA", at positions 524 to 776 of the family's 1533-position model. The record is from RNAcentral.
UACAGAGGUCUCAAGCGUUGUUCGGAUUCAUUGGGCGUAAAGGGUGCGUAGGCGGCGCGGUAAGUCGGGUGUGAAAUCUCCGGGCUUAACCCGGAGCGGCCAAGUGAUACUGUCGUGCUAGAGUGCGGAAGGGGCUACUGGAAUUCUCGGUGUAGCGGUGAAAUGCGUAGAUAUCGAGAGGAACACCUGCGGCGAAGGCGGGUAGCUGGGCCGACACUGACGCUGAGGCGCGAAAGCCAGGGGAGCGAACGGG